GUCCUUUAAUUGGGGACUUGUAUGAAUGGUCUGAUGAGGGAUUAUCUUUCUUUAUCUUAUAUAUAUAAACUUAAUCUAUAAGUUAAAAAGCUUAUAUUAUUUUAAAUGACGAGAAGACCCUAUAGAGCUUUACUGUUAUAUAAAUAUACUAUCAAUAUAUAUAUUAUUAAACAUAUAGUUAUUUAUAAUAGUUUUGUUGGGGUGACAAUUAAAUUUAUUUAACUUUAGUUUAACUUAACUCAUUGAUUAAUGAUUGUUGUUGAUCCUAUACUAUAGAUUAUAAGAAUAAGUUACCUUAGGGAUAACAGCGUAAUUCUAUUAGAGAGUUCAUAUUAAUAAUAGAGUUUGCGACCUCGAUGUUGGAUUAA
This 368-nucleotide ribosomal RNA is filed under the name Nabis punctatus. Its description in RNAcentral is "partial 16S ribosomal RNA". The record is from RNAcentral. Lineage: Eukaryota; Metazoa; Arthropoda; Insecta; Hemiptera; Nabidae.